UCGAUCGAAGAUAUCGUUCUGCAAAUUUAUCAAAUUUAUUGUUAAAUUUGUUUAGGACAAAAAUCUCGAAGAUAUCGGGAGAAUAAUAAAAGAUCAUUUGUGAGAUAAAUUUUCUAUCGAACGCUUCGUAACAUUGUUGGAAACAUAUGUGUUGCAUAAACAUAUCGUGGAAACGUUACACGAUAUAAACACACUUUAAUUCGUAUACUUUCGAGAAACACACACGCUUUUGUUUUCCCCUUCCACCAAAACAGAUCACACGUCCUUAUUGCGUAUUAUCGUUCUACAGUCUCUAUUCGACUUUCGAGUGGUUGUCACGUUUUCCGUAUCGCGCGUUCAAUUUUACAAUGGCGCAAAAGCGUUUCGUUAUUCGGCAAAUAUUUCGUGCCAACGUCGAAGCAAUUAUUUUUUAACAACGUGAAAUGUAUAAGAUAACAAUUGGAAUAUCGCUGGAUCGAGAAGAACUUUCUAAUUUUCAGAGGUUAGGUUCAACGAUUCAACGCGAUCGAAUACAAAAAGUACGCGAAUGAAGAGCAUCGUAACGUCCUUCUAUAAAUUUGUGUUCGAUUUUACAAUAGUGGAAAAGUGUUUCGUUAUUCGGCAAAUAUUUCGUGCCAACGUCGAAGUAAUUAUUUUUUAACAACGUGAAAUGUACAAGAUAACAAUUGGAUGGAAUAUCCUUGCAUCGAGAAGAAUUUUCGAGAUUUUCAGAGGUUAGGUUCAACGAUUCGACGUGAUCGAAAAAUACAAAAGUACAAGAGGGUAUCGGUCCCAUCGCUAUCCGCGGGUCACGUGCACCGCGUCAGGGCCGUAGGGUGGCGUUCUUGCGCAGGGGUGCAAGAAGUAAGGGCUGUUUCGUGAGCUGCAUACGGGAAAACAGCAGAGCAGAGAGGGAAAAUGGAGAGAAUCGAAAUUUCCGCGAACAGCCACGGGCAUUUUUACGUGGGCAUCCAUCCAAACUCGAUCUAUCGCGAGGGUUCUCGCGUCUGGCUUAGGGGGGAGGGAGGGAGAAGACGAAAUUUUCAAUGGCCUUAACUAGUGGAACUCGAGGGAAAUAUUAAUUUUAAUUUGACAAGGGAAAGAAAACGAUUUUUGUCGGAUUUAGUGAUGGGUUAGAGUUGCUCGCAAUCUUGUUUGUUUGUAUUAUAUUUUAAUGUAUAUAUGAUGGAAAGGAAGUUUUAUAUUUCUUGUUAAUUACUUUAUUAUUUAUUAUUUAUUAAUUUGAUGUAAAUGAAUGUGCAAAUAAAUUUACACGAAAUCAA
Molecule: long non-coding RNA, 1262 nt
Organism: Apis cerana (Asiatic honeybee)
Lineage: Eukaryota; Metazoa; Arthropoda; Insecta; Hymenoptera; Apidae
Source: RefSeq, a predicted model, not a curated record